GGUGAGAUCUUUAGCUUCUUGAAUUGCUAUCACCUUUGCUUCUUAUUCUUUUGGUAAAGACUUCAAAACCUUGCACACAAGUUCAUGAUUAGUAUAGAUUUAGCCAAGAUCAUUUAAAAUAUUAAUAAUAUUCAUAAAUCUUAUGAAUAUAUCAAAAAUAGACUCGUGUGGUUCUAUUUUGAACAUUUCAUAUUUAUGAACAAGCAAAUUAAUUUUAGAUUCUUUAACUUGGCUUAUUCUCUCAUGAG
Molecule: long non-coding RNA, 248 nt
Filed under: Elaeis guineensis (African oil palm)
Lineage: Eukaryota; Viridiplantae; Streptophyta; Magnoliopsida; Arecales; Arecaceae
Description: long non-coding RNA (EGUI_LNC052611)
Source: RNAcentral